RNAcentral lists this ribosomal RNA (1392 nucleotides) under uncultured bacterium. RNAcentral describes it as "bacterial SSU rRNA". It matches the Rfam family "Bacterial small subunit ribosomal RNA". The record is from RNAcentral.
AGAGUUUGAUCCUGGCUCAGGAUGAACGCUGGCGGCGUGCCUAACACAUGCAAGUCGAGCGAGAAGCUUUUGAAUGAUUCUUCGGAUGAAUGAUGAAGUGGAAAGCGGCGGACGGGUGAGUAACGCGUAGGCAACCUGCCCCUUGCAGAGGGAUAGCCACCGGAAACAGUGAUUAAAACCUCAUAAUACUUUCCUUACACAUGUAAGGAAAGUCAAAGAUUUAUCGGCAAGGGAUGGGCCUGCAUCUGAUUAGCUAGUUGGUGAGGUAACGGCUCACCAAGGCGACGAUCAGUAGCCGACCUGAGAGGGUGAUCGGCCACAUUGGAACUGAGACACGGUCCAAACUCCUACGGGAGGCAGCAGUGGGGAAUAUUGCACAAUGGGCGAAAGCCUGAUGCAGCAACGCCGCGUGAAGGAUGAAGGCCUUCGGGUCGUAAACUUCUGUCCUAGGGGAAGAAGAACUGACGGUACCCUUGGAGGAAGCCCCGGCUAACUACGUGCCAGCAGCCGCGGUAAUACGUAGGGGGCAAGCGUUAUCCGGAAUUAUUGGGCGUAAAGAGUGCGUAGGUGGUUCUUUAAGCGUAGGGUAUAAGGCAAUGGCUCAACCAUUGUUCGCCCUAGGAACUGGAGGACUUGAGUGCAGGAGAGGUAAGCGGAAUUCCUAGUGUAGCGGUGAAAUGCGUAGAUAUUAGGAGGAACACCGGUGGCGAAGGCGGCUUACUGGACUGUAACUGACGUUGAGGCUCGAAAGCGUGGGGAGCAAACAGGAUUAGAUACCCUGGUAGUCCACGCCGUAAACGAUGAUUACUAGGUGUCGGGAGACGAGGUCUUCCGGUGCCGCCUGCUAACGCAGUAAGUAAUCCACCUGGGGAGUGCGUUGGCAAGAAAUGAACUCAAAAGGAAUUGACGGGGGCCCGCACAAGCGGUGGAGCAUGUGGUUUAAUUCGAAGCAACGCGAAGGAACCUUACCAAGUCUUGACAUCCUCCUGAAUAUCCUUUAACAGGGAUAGUCCUUCGGGACAGGAGAGACAGAUGGUGCAUGGUUGUCGUCAGCUCGUGUCGUGAGAUGUUGGGUUAAGUCCCGCAACGAGCGCAACCCUUAUCCUCAGUAGCCAGCAGUAAGAUGGGAACUCUGGGGAGACUGCCGGGGAUAACCCGGAGGAAGGUGGGGAUGACGUCAAAUCAUCAUGCCCCUUAUGACUUGGGCUACACACGUGCUACAAUGGCGUAAACAGAGGGAAGCGAGCCCGCGAGGGGGAGCCAAUCCCAAAAAUAACGUCUCAGUUCGGAUUGUAGUCUGCAACUCGACUACAUGAAGCUGGAAUCGCUAGUAAUCGCGAAUCAGAAUGUCGCGGUGAAUACGUUCCCGGGUCUUGUACACACCGCCCGUCA